Phascolarctos cinereus (koala) is the source of this 101-nucleotide microRNA precursor. Ensembl annotates it as microRNA 10a. Its record names the gene MIR10A. The record is from Ensembl. Lineage: Eukaryota; Metazoa; Chordata; Mammalia; Diprotodontia; Phascolarctidae.
UCUGUCUUCUGUAUAUACCCUGUAGAUCCGAAUUUGUGUAAGGAAUUUUGUGGUCACAAAUUCGUAUCUAGGGGAAUAUGUAGUUGACAUAAACACUCCGC